AGGGGUAGCAGGAGUGGGUGCAGCCGGGAGAUGGAGGAUCCGGUGGUGCCGGAGGUCCACCUGCAGGCGCUGACGACUCCACUGACAGCCCAGCAUGGGACCGUGAGGGUGAUGGUCUUCACACCUCUCUGGAAUAAUUAGGGGCUUGAGAAUGCAGGUUUAGGCCUGAAAGACGUGCCAGACCUGCUGCCAAAGCAUCGGCCUCCACCUCACCCUGCAGACAUGGCUCAACAUUCACGCAUACAUACUCACACAAACAGAGUGAGCAAUUUGGGGUGAAGUGUCUUGCCCAGGGACACAACGACAUGCUGACUGCAGUGGGACUCGAACUUGCUAUCCCCUGUUUCUAAGUCCAGCACACUACCCACUGAGCCACAGCCUCCCCUACGACAAUUCUUAGAAAGUGCUCCUAGAUGACCUGUCCCAUAAAAGGCCUAAGAGACAUCAAAUGGAAAUGUAUGUAUCAUCUCAUAUCUUUUAUAUUUAUCUGCCCAAAAAACAAACAUAAAAUGCCUCGAUUUUCUAUUUAUAUUAAUUUUAUGGGAAGAAAAAGAAAAAUACUCUUAAUUAGUCGGCCUUUAGAAACAAUUUUAAAGAGAUGAAUAAAUGUAUGUGAUGUAGGACCUAUUGUUUUAUUUGCAAAUGAACUCAGAAAGAAAGUCAAAUCUAUGUAUGGAGUCGAGAGGUCAAAGGCUGACUGUAUAGAGGAAAUAAUAGCACAGAAAUAACUCAUGUGAGCUUUUAAUAGACGACUGAGAGGUUAGUGUCUAUGACAGAUUUACAAAUUAAGAUUAAUUUAAAGCUGCCUUUUUUCUUUACAUGAGUGUUAUCCACUAUCCCUCCCCCUUUUACAAAUCCCCCAGUCGUUGUGAGGUCGUGUGUUGGUUAGGAGGUGGUUGUUGUUGUUAUUGACAUAGCCACAGGCCUGUGGCUCUUCCUGGGUGACAGUUACAGGAGUUUAAACCUGUAAAUCUUCAGCAGACCUCCUUCCUCCCCUCUAAUUCCUCAUUACCUCACGGCAGGUAGUCUCAGGAGAGAUUUAGAGGGCCUGCAGGGCUGCUUCAGCGGAGGAGAGUGUUUCACUGAGUGUGUAAAAUCUCUGUGGUGAGUGUGUAGGACCGCAAGGAAGGACCGUGGGCAGUAGCUUUAAGCCAGACCACAGACCACAGGCAGGUAACACCAUAUGGAGUCUCCAUCCUUGGUUGUGUGUUUAAGUGUGUGUGGUUUCAUGCUUCAGGUGUAAAGAUGCUGCUUUCUGACUAACCUUUCAAACAACAGCCUAAAAAAAGAAUAAAUAAAAUCUUAUAACAUUUAAUGUUAUAUCUUCUCAGUCAGUUCUGUAUCAGCUCAGCAUAUCAGGGCAAGUGUCACAUCUUAUUCCCUCUGUUGGUUCUGCCUAAAUGUUUACAGACCAAUGAAAGGACUCUGGGUUUGCUCAUCCUUUCAGCCUACAUCAGUGUAACCUAACACCAAGCCUCUGCAAACCUGUCUAUCUGUUUAUCUACCUGGCUGUCUGAGUCCUUACCUGUGUCUUGAAACACACAUAUGAAAUCAAUGUUGGUUCCCAACACGGUUUAAACAAGAACUCUUCUGAGCUAUAGCCUGCAGGGGAGCCUCAUGUCAACUGUUGACUAGCUCCCACUAGUGGUGAUCAGCAGUAAUGUCAAGGCCAACCUGGGAGGUGAACUGCUUGUCCUUGUGAGGCAUUUAAUAUCUAAUAAUAGAAAGGUAUUUUGCUUUUAUACAUUCAAGUUGGACUAGUUUAGUAUUUACAUGAGCCUGCUGCACCCGUUUUUGGAAACAGAAGUCAUGCCAAAAAACACAUGUAUUUUUGUGUCAAUUAUUCUCUUGUAUAAUGAGAAAAGGUUCUGACAAGCUGUUGUAAUGACUUCUUCCCUUUCUUCACAUGGCUAUCCUCUUUGUGAACACAUGUUGUCGUGCUGUUGAAGUGAAUCAUUCAGCGGUUUGUGUGAUCCCCUGUAUGGCAUUGUGUCUCCAGCGACAGUGUUUACUGAUAAUUGAGUAAUUACCUGUAAAAGAUAGCACUCCUGUGGUUUUGUUCAGCUGUAAUCUUCCCAGUCUAUCUGAUGCAGAUCAGGUUUUAGCUUGGGAAGAAGCUCAAUGCAACAGUUUAGUAUUCUCUGUAAAUGUGUGUGAGUGCUAUACAUAUAACCAAUUUUAUGCCUCUAAACUAGCCUCUACGUGAAAAUCACAGGAAGUGCUUAAAACUAAUUUGCUGACAAGAUGAUGGUUGGACAUUUGAAAUUGCACAAAAUCAUAGGACGGUAAUUUGACAUUCCUUUGUGAGUUUCACAAUCCCACAGUGAAUAGAAAGUUGUAACAGGCACUUUGUGCGUACACUAGUGGCCUCACCCACAAUGGCAUUUGAAAGACAAACAGUAGUGCGUGCUGCUGGCCGGAGCUCCACAGCAGUGAAAGUGGUCGUUCUUUUUGAGUUACGGCAGCCAAAGUUCAGCAUAAUGUCCGUGUCAUUACAGGGUAAAGAAACCUUUGUGAGUCGGCCCUGUCCCUCUCCUGAUCUCCUUAGGCUAUUCUCUUUCUCUUGAAGAUGUUUAACUUGCUCCUUUCCUUCUUUUUCUUUAUCUUUCAUUCUGUAUUUCUUCCCUUUUCUGCUCUCUUUCUCUCCUGUCAAAAGUGUUCUGCCCCUCGGCAUUAGACGAUAUAUUCACAUUUUCAAAUCAGUCUGAUAACUUCCAUUCUGUAAUAUGCUGAAAUAAU
This is a long non-coding RNA of Gymnodraco acuticeps, 2739 nucleotides long. RefSeq lists it as uncharacterized. The record is from RefSeq and is a predicted model, not a curated record. Lineage: Eukaryota; Metazoa; Chordata; Actinopteri; Perciformes; Bathydraconidae. The transcript has 4 exons.